GAAGGCUUUCGGGUUGUAAAGCACUUUAAGUAAGGAGAAAAAGAUUGCAGUUAAUACCUGCUAUCCGUGAUGUUACUUACAGAAUAAGGACCGGCUAAUUCCGUGCCAGCAGCCGCGGUAAUACGGAAGGUCCAAGCGUUAAUCGGAAUUACUGGGCGUAAAGCGCGCGUAGGUGGUUUUUUAAGUUGGAUGUGAAAGCCCUGGGCUCAACCUAGGAACUGCAUCCAAAACUAGAUGACUAGAGUACGAAAGAGGGAAGUAGAAUUCACAGUGUAGCGGUGGAAUGCGUAGAUAUUGUGAAGAAUACCGAUGGCGAAGGCAGCUUCCUGGUUCUGUACUGACACUAAGGUGCGAAAGCGUGGGUAGCGAACAGGAUUAGAUACCCUGGUAGUCCACGCCGUAAACGAUGACAACUAGCUGUUGGGAGACAAGAUCUCUCAGUGGCGCAGCUAACGCUU
RNAcentral lists this ribosomal RNA (458 nucleotides) under uncultured Gammaproteobacteria bacterium. RNAcentral describes it as "bacterial SSU rRNA". It matches the Rfam family "Bacterial small subunit ribosomal RNA", at positions 410 to 860 of the family's 1533-position model. The record is from RNAcentral. Lineage: Bacteria; Pseudomonadati; Pseudomonadota; Gammaproteobacteria.